Molecule: ribosomal RNA, 460 nt
Filed under: uncultured bacterium
Lineage: Bacteria
Description: partial 16S ribosomal RNA
Rfam family: Bacterial small subunit ribosomal RNA
Source: RNAcentral
CCUACGGGAGGCAGCAGUGAGGAAUAUUGGUCAAUGGACGAGAGUCUGAACCAGCCAAGUAGCGUGAAGGAUGACUGCCCUAUGGGUUGUAAACUUCUUUUAUAAAGGAAUAAAACGAGGCACGUGUGCCUUUUUGCAUGUACUUUAUGAAUAAGGAUCGGCUAACUCCGUGCCAGCAGCCGCGGUAAUACGGAGGAGCCGAGCGUUAUCCGGAUUUAGUGGGUUUAAAGGGAGCGUAGAUGGGUUGUUAAGUCAGUUGUGAAAGUUUGCGGCUCAACCGUAAAAUUGCAAUUGAUACUGGCAGUCUUGAGUACAGUUGAGGUAGGUGGAAUUCGUGGUGUAGCGGUGAAAUGCUUAGAUAUCACGAAGAACCCCGAUUGCGAAGGCAGCUUACUAAACUGUGACUGACAUUGAUGCUCGAAAGUGUGGGUAUCAAACAGGAUUAGAUACCCUGGUAGUC